This 429-nucleotide ribosomal RNA is filed under the name Actinomycetes bacterium. Its description in RNAcentral is "Actinobacteria bacterium partial 16S ribosomal RNA". It matches the Rfam family "Bacterial small subunit ribosomal RNA", at positions 355 to 776 of the family's 1533-position model. Lineage: Bacteria; Bacillati; Actinomycetota; Actinomycetes. The record is from RNAcentral.
UAGGGAAUCUUCCGCAAUGGGCGAAAGCUUGACGGAGCAACGCCGCGUGAGUGAUGAAGGUCUUCGGAUCGUAAAAUUCUGUUAUUAGGGAAGAACAAAUGUGUAAGUAACUAUGCACGUCUUGACGGUACCUAAUCAGAAAGCCACGGCUAACUACGUGCCAGCAGCCGCGGUAAUACGUAGGUGGCAAGCGUUAUCCGGAAUUAUUGGGCGUAAAGCGCGCGUAGGCGGUUUUUUAAGUCUGAUGUGAAAGCCCACGGCUCAACCGCGGAGGUUCAUUGGAAACUGGAAUACUUGAGUGCAGAAUAUGAAAGUGGAAUUCCAUGUGUAGCGGUGAAAUGCGCAGGAAUCUGGAGGAACACCAGUGGCGAAGGCGACUUUCUGGUCUGUAACUAACGCUGAUGUGCGAAAGCGUGGGGAUCAAACAGG